Molecule: ribosomal RNA, 440 nt
Filed under: uncultured bacterium
Lineage: Bacteria
Description: partial 16S ribosomal RNA
Rfam family: Bacterial small subunit ribosomal RNA
Source: RNAcentral
CCUACGGGAGGCAGCAGUGGGGAAUAUUGCACAAUGGGGGAAACCCUGAUGCAGCGACGCCGCGUGAGUGCAGAAGUAUUUCGGUAUGUAAAGCGCUAUCAGCAGGGAAGAAAAUGACGGUACCUGAUUAAGAAGCCCCGGCUAACUACGUGCCAGCAGCCGCGGGCAUACGUUGGGGGCAAGCGUUAUGCGGAUUUAAUGGGUGGAAAGUGAGCGUAGACGGCAGGACAAGUCUGGGGGGAAAUGCCGGGGCUUAACCCCGGGACUGCUUUGGAAACUGUGCAGCUAGAGUGCAGGAGAGGUAAGCGGAAUUCCUAGUGUAGCGGUGAAAUGCGUAGAUAUUAGGAGGAACACCAGAGGCGAAGGCAGCUUACUGGACUUUAACUGACGUUGAGGCACGAAAGCGUGGGGAGCAAACAGGAUUAGAUACCCUUGUAGUC